RNAcentral lists this ribosomal RNA (512 nucleotides) under uncultured bacterium. RNAcentral's name for it is "partial 16S ribosomal RNA". It matches the Rfam family "Bacterial small subunit ribosomal RNA", at positions 28 to 507 of the family's 1533-position model. The record is from RNAcentral.
GACGAACGCUGGCGGCGUGCCUAAUACAUGCAAGUCGAGCGAGCGGAACUAACAGAUUUACUUCGGUAAUGACGUUAGGAAAGCGAGCGGCGGAUGGGUGAGUAACACGUGGGGAACCUGCCCCAUAGUCUGGGAUACCACUUGGAAACAGGUGCUAAUACCGGAUAAGAAAGCAGAUCGCAUGAUCAGCUUUUAAAAGGCGGCGUAAGCUGUCGCUAUGGGAUGGCCCCGCGGUGCAUUAGCUAGUUGGUAAGGUAAAGGCUUACCAAGGCGAUGAUGCAGAGCGGAGUUGAGGGACUGCUCGGCCACAUUGGGACGGAGACACCCCCCAAACUCCUCGGGAGGGCGCCAGUGGGGAAUCUUCCACAAGGGCCGCAAGUCUGAGGGAGCACCGCGGGGUGAGUAAAGAGGUUUUUGGGAUCGAAAAGUUUUUUUUUUGGUAAAAAAGAAAAGGGGAAGUAACUGGCUUUUUUUUGACGGAAACCAACAAGAAAGCCCCGGCUACCUACGUC